Long non-coding RNA from Eriocheir sinensis (Chinese mitten crab), 564 nucleotides. RefSeq lists it as uncharacterized. NCBI's taxonomy places the organism in Eukaryota, Metazoa, Arthropoda, Malacostraca, Decapoda, Varunidae. The record is from RefSeq and is a predicted model, not a curated record. The transcript has 3 exons.
GGCUCACGAGCCCAACCUGCCCGGGUUUAUUGUUCGGAGUUUGCUCUCCUAGGUGAACUGCUUUCGCUAACGACCUCCACCUGCCCGGGUUUGUAAUCGGAGUUUGCUCUCCUAGGUGAACUGCUUUCGCUAACGACCUCCACCUGCCCGGUUUUGUAAUCGGAGUUUGCUCUCCUAGGUGAACUGCUUUCGCUAACGACCUCCACCUGCCCGGGUUUGUAAUCGGAGUUUGCUCUCCUAGGUGAACUGCUCACGCUAACGACCUCCACCUGCCCGGGUUUGUAAUCGGAGUUUGCUCUCCUAGAUGAACUGCUUUCGCUAACGACCUCCACCUGCCCGGGUUUAUUGUUCGGAGUUUGCUCUCCUAGGUGUAUUACCUAUGACGGCUCACGAGCCCAACCUGCCCGGGUUUAUUGUUUGGAGUUUGCUCUCCUAGGUGUAUUACCUAUGACGGUUCACGAGCCCAACCUGCCCGGGUUUAUUGUUCGGAGUUUGCUCUCCUAGGUGUAUUACCUAUGACGGUUCACGAGCCCAACCUGCCCGGGUUUAUUGUUCGGAGUUUGC